CUACUUCUGCACCCUAUAAAUAGCAAAAAAGAAUGUUUGUAAAGAGAUCCCGAAAAAACCGCUUUUACAGAGAAUUUCGUACAACCGUCAGAGUACUUUGCGGCUCGGCUCGUACACUCAGUUUUUAGCUCGUCCAUUUUUGUAAUCGUCGGCUCGUCAUUAAAUAAGAGAUUCUUCUUUCACCCUUAAAACUACGAAAACGUACUUGUGUGAUUUUGAGGAUCAACAGUUGGCGCGCCAGGU
Molecule: long non-coding RNA, 243 nt
Filed under: Arabidopsis lyrata
Lineage: Eukaryota; Viridiplantae; Streptophyta; Magnoliopsida; Brassicales; Brassicaceae
Description: long non-coding RNA (ALYR_LNC002585)
Source: RNAcentral